Long non-coding RNA from Biomphalaria glabrata, 696 nucleotides. RefSeq lists it as uncharacterized. The record is from RefSeq and is a predicted model, not a curated record. The transcript has 4 exons. Lineage: Eukaryota; Metazoa; Mollusca; Gastropoda; Planorbidae.
UUCAAUCACAUGAUGCCAUUGGAGUACAAAGCAGGAUUUUUGGUGUAGCCGUUUUGACAAUGUGGUUCAUUUUUAAAUUAUAGUUUGCUAUGCCAUGAUUUCAUCACUUUUUAUAAACUGUUCAAAUAAAAGAAGGGCUUAGAUUUCGGACCAUUUCACUCAGGGAAGGAGUGCACAUGCGGAAACUGAUUUUGAGGGCAUCUAUAUCGAGGCUCUCCAUCAUCUCUUGUAUACACUGAAUUAUAUUCCAGAGUAAAGCUAAUACAUCUGCAAAGUCCAGGUCCAUCAGUCAGUUUGAUUCACAUCAUGGGUUACCGAAUGCAGCCAGAGUCAUAGAAACAUACUACUCUACACAAACUUCAUGAUGUCUUCAAAGAAUCAAAGCAUUGCGAUAGUCAAAGGUUUCUUCAAGGUAUAGACUUACUAUUUGGCAGAGUCAUUCAGCUGGUACUCAUUAGCACGACCUAAACAUUCUUGUACACCUGAAUCCACCCAUAGACGUUUCAUGGCUGCAAGAAGUUCUUCUGAGAAGGGUUCUGUAUCUUCCAUCCUGGCUAUAACAUCCAAAACCAUUUUGGCAUCAGACUGGAAAAAGAAAAAGUUUAGAAGUUAAUUUUUUUAAUUAUUUUAUCAUUAUUCAUUUGAUGGCAUAACUAGAACUUUUGAACAAAAUGAAAUAAAAUUUUAAAAAUCCAC